This 253-nucleotide ribosomal RNA is filed under the name uncultured bacterium. Its description in RNAcentral is "partial 16S ribosomal RNA". It matches the Rfam family "Bacterial small subunit ribosomal RNA", at positions 524 to 776 of the family's 1533-position model. The record is from RNAcentral.
UACGGAGGGGGCUAGCGUUGUUCGGAAUUACUGGGCGUAAAGCGCGCGUAGGCGGACCUGCAAGUCGGGGGUGAAAGCCCGAGGCUCAACCUCGGAACUGCCUUCGAUACUGCGGGUCUCGAGUCCGGGAGAGGUGAGUGGAACUCCUAGUGUAGAGGUGAAAUUCGUAGAUAUUAGGAAGAACACCAGUGGCGAAGGCGGCUCACUGGCCCGGUACUGACGCUGAGGCGCGAAAGCGUGGGGAGCAAACGGG